GGAAAGGCUCAGGCGCUCUGGGAGGGGCUUGCGGCCCAUCAGCUAGUUGGUAGGGUAAAGGCCUACCAAGGCGAAGACGGGUAGGGGGUGUGAGAGCACGGCCCCCCACAAUGGGACUGAAACACGGCCCAUACUCCUACGGGAGGCAGCAGCAGGGAAUAUUGCACAAUAGGCGAAAGCCUGAUGCAGCGACGCCGCGUGAGUGAAGAAGGCCUUCGGGUCGUAAAGCUCUUUUGUAGGGGAAGAGGAAGGACGGUACCCUAAGAAGAAGCGUCGGCUAACUACGUGCCAGCAGCCGCGGUAAGACGUAGGACGCGAGCGUUAUCCGGAAUUACUGGGCGUAAAGGACCAGCAGGCGGCUUGGUAAAGUUGUGCGUGAAAGCCUCGUGCUCAACGCGAGGAAGCCGGACAAUACUGUCAAGCUAGAGGGCAUCAGAGGGGAGUGGAAUUCCCGGAGUAGCGGUAAAAUGCGCAGAUAUCGGGAGGAACACCGAUGGCGAAGGCAGCUCCCUGGGAUGCACCUGACGCUAAGAGGCGAAAGCUAGGGGAGCGAACAGGAUUGAGAGACCCUGGUAGUCCUAAGCUGUAAACGCUGGGUGCUAAGUGUGGGACCGUUAGAAGUUCCGCGCCGGAGCAAAACGCGAUGAGCACCCCCGCCUGGGAAUUACGGGUCGCAAAGGCUAAAACUUCAACCAGAAUUGACGGGGCCCGCGCACAAGCAGCGGAGCGUGUGGUAACAAAUUAGAUGCUACACGGAGAACCAUCACCGGGGGUUAGACAUGCACGGUGGUACGAAGCGCGAACGCUCUAAGGACCUUUCGGGGACCGAACACAGGUGCUGAAUGCCGGUCGUCAGCUCGUACCGUGAGCUGUCGGGUUAAGUCCCGUAACGAGCGCAACCC
RNAcentral lists this ribosomal RNA (902 nucleotides) under uncultured organism. Its description in RNAcentral is "bacterial SSU rRNA". It matches the Rfam family "Bacterial small subunit ribosomal RNA", at positions 200 to 1104 of the family's 1533-position model. The record is from RNAcentral.